RNAcentral lists this transfer RNA (71 nucleotides) under Chloroflexota bacterium. Its description in RNAcentral is "Chloroflexi bacterium (oil production facility metagenome) tRNA-Gln". It matches the Rfam family "tRNA". From Rfam's summary of the family: Transfer RNA (tRNA) molecules are approximately 80 nucleotides in length. Their secondary structure includes four short double-helical elements and three loops (D, anti-codon, and T loops). The record is from RNAcentral. Lineage: Bacteria; Bacillati; Chloroflexota.
UCGGGGAUCGUCUAAUGGUAGGACAAGGGACUUUGGAUCCCUCGAUCCAGGUUCGAAUCCUGGUCCCCGAG